Colius striatus (speckled mousebird) is the source of this 1162-nucleotide long non-coding RNA. RefSeq lists it as uncharacterized. The transcript has 6 exons. The record is from RefSeq and is a predicted model, not a curated record. Lineage: Eukaryota; Metazoa; Chordata; Aves; Coliiformes; Coliidae.
CUGGCCUGUGUGAAUUGACAUUCCUCUUGCCAAUGAACCUGUGGGAAGAGGAUAGUAGAAAAGCAGGAGGGUCUGUAGCCUGUGAUGUGAGGGUCAGGAGGAGACACCAGCUUCACCAGAUCUGUUGAUCUGUUCACAGGUGAUGUCUGUUCCUGUUAGGAUGUUCACACAACUGCCAGCCCGAGGCUUCAGCUUUGUGAGAAAGAGAUGGGAGUGACUUUACCCUGCAGACCCCCAGACAGGAUUGCCCUGCUGCCCUGCACUUUCCAGAGCCCUGCUCUCUCCUGUGUUUUGAAACAAGGCUGCAAAUGAGCUCCUGGAGCCACAUCAGCUCAGCGUUUGCCCCUGCCAUCAGGCACCUGACACUGAGCUGAUGUCUGUCACCCCUUGUCCUGACCCUGGAUACAACAAGUGCUGCCCCAGGCUCCUGACACCCACCAUUGAGGUGGAGAGGUGAAAGUAGAGCUUAAAGACAUCAAAAGGGAAAUGACUUCACACUCUUCUUCCCUACCUGCAGCUUCACUCCUAGACACUACCACCCAUCCACUACCAGGGACUGUUUCUGGAGACAUCCCACCAGCUCCUCUACUGCCCAGGUGUUCUGGCAUCCCAGCAGCUCCAUCAUGAAUGGAUAUUCCUGCUCCUGCCCGUGGCUUUGGAUGCAGGGGAGCCUGUCAACCUCAACUGCUUCCAUGAGGAUUGUCUCCAGAGAAGUUUCUCAGCCAGCCAUACAACUGAAGACCACACUGGACUAAGAACCAAGCAAGAGCAGCAGAGCCAGCCAAGGGACAAGAAAUGGAGCCAUCCCUGAGGAGACCACACAGAGCAGCAGCUGCUGGAGCCCUGGGCAGAGGCAGAGAGAUCUGCUGGACCUGCAGGAACUUCCAGGAGGAAAAUCCAGGUUCCCUCUGGGAUCUGUGCAGAGCCAUGAAAGGUAAUUUCUUUUCUUCUUGCUCUUGGGGCUGUUUGUCCCAGUUUUGGGUCAUUUUAGCUCUCCUGUCCCAUCUUUGUUAUGCCCCUGUAGUUCUGCCCUGGCACUUGGCCUUGUAAAACCUCAUCCCACAGCCCACUGAUGGUGCUGAUGGGCCAGGGAUGAGCAGGAGCUCACUACAAGCACAAGCCCAUCCCCUGUCCCCCAGGGAAGGUGUGAGGGAGCCAAAAC